AGCGAACGCUGGCGGCAGGCCUAACACAUGCAAGUCGAACGGAUCCUUCGGGAUUAGUGGCGGACGGGUGAGUAACACGUGGGAACGUGCCCUUUGGUUCGGAACAACUCAGGGAAACUUGAGCUAAUACCGGAUGUGCCCUUCGGGGGAAAGAUUUAUCGCCAUUGGAGCGGCCCGCGUCUGAUUAGCUAGUUGGUGAGGUAACGGCCCACCAAGGCGACGAUCAGUAGCUGGUCUGAGAGGAUGAUCAGCCAAACUGGGACUGAGACACGGCCCAGACUCCUACGGGAGGCAGCAGUGGGGAAUCUUGCGCAAUGGGCGAAAGCCUGACGCAGCCAUGCCGCGUGAAUGAUGAAGGUCUUAGGAUUGUAAAAUUCUUUCAGCGGGGACGAUAAUGACGGUACCCGCAGAAGAAGCUCCGGCUAACUUCGUG
Molecule: ribosomal RNA, 433 nt
Filed under: uncultured bacterium
Lineage: Bacteria
Description: partial 16S ribosomal RNA
Rfam family: Bacterial small subunit ribosomal RNA
Source: RNAcentral